GCGUAACACGUGAACAACCUGCCCUCGUGGUGGGGGAUAGCCGGGCUAACGCCCGGGUAAUACCGCAUACGUUUUCUUGGGGGAGUCCCCGAGGAAGGAAAGCUCCGGCGCACGGGGAGGGGUUCGCGGCCUAUCAGCUAGUUGGCGGGGUAAUGGCCCACCAAGGCGACGACGGGUAGCUGGUCUGAGAGGACGGCCAGCCGGAUUGGGACUGAGAUACGGCCCAG
This 227-nucleotide ribosomal RNA is filed under the name uncultured bacterium. RNAcentral describes it as "partial 16S ribosomal RNA". It matches the Rfam family "Bacterial small subunit ribosomal RNA", at positions 108 to 334 of the family's 1533-position model. The record is from RNAcentral.